Phascolarctos cinereus (koala) is the source of this 593-nucleotide non-coding RNA. The record is from RefSeq and is a predicted model, not a curated record. NCBI's taxonomy places the organism in Eukaryota, Metazoa, Chordata, Mammalia, Diprotodontia, Phascolarctidae.
GCCCCAGGGCAGGGCUUAACUGCUGGUUAGCAAUGGGUUCAGUGCCUUACUGGUGGCUUGUUCUGGGGGCAGAGUUGCUGGGAUAGGUCCUUGCUCUUCUGCACAGACUGCUUACUUAACUAGGGGGAUGCUGGUUUGAGUGCCUCAGACUUGGGGCUUUACUGCAGGCCCCCUGCUGUGAGGCUGGCUCCUGUUGCUGCUCUUGGACGUUGCUCCUCUACCGCCUAAGAGAUCCCUAACUUUCCUGUGUGGCUGCUUCUGGCUGGUGUGCACACUGAGGAUCAGACACUAACUACUGAGAUAUGAAAGGUGUCAGAGAAAAAUGGGAAUUAUGGAAAUGAAUUGCUCAAGAAACUUAACAUAACAGCUGCCUGUGGGACUGUCACCAAGUGAAAUAACACAACUGAGAAAAACUCCAAAGACCUGUGAGAGAAAACCUGAAUAUUUUAUCUUAGGACCCUCUGGUGACCAGCCUUUGAGUUAUCUAGCACAGUUUUUUCUAGCUGUUGCCUGGGACACUGAUGAGCCCAUGGUGAUAGCAAAUGAUGGUCAUUACAUACCCAACCAGAUGGUAUUAAAAUAAUGUGGUGAAU